ACGGGUGAGUAAUGUCUGGGAAACUGCCCGAUGGAGGGGGAUAACUACUGGAAACGGUAGCUAAUACCGCAUAACGUCUUCGGACCAAAGUGGGGGACCUUCGGGCCUCACACCAUCGGAUGUGCCCAGAUGGGAUUAGCUAGUAGGUGAGGUAAUGGCUCACCUAGGCGACGAUCCCUAGCUGGUCUGAGAGGAUGACCAGCCACACUGGAACUGAGACACGGUCCAGACUCCUACGGGAGGCAGCAGUGGGGAAUAUUGCACAAUGGGCGCAAGCCUGAUGCAGCCAUGCCGCGUGUGUGAAGAAGGCCUUCGGGUUGUAAAGCACUUUCAGCGAGGAGGAAGGGUUCAGUGUUAAUAGCACCGUUCAUUGACGUUACUCGCAGAAGAAGCACCGGCUAACUCCGUGCC
This 411-nucleotide ribosomal RNA is filed under the name uncultured bacterium. Its description in RNAcentral is "bacterial SSU rRNA". It matches the Rfam family "Bacterial small subunit ribosomal RNA", at positions 102 to 509 of the family's 1533-position model. The record is from RNAcentral.